RNAcentral lists this ribosomal RNA (165 nucleotides) under uncultured bacterium. RNAcentral's name for it is "partial 16S rRNA". It matches the Rfam family "Bacterial small subunit ribosomal RNA", at positions 355 to 511 of the family's 1533-position model. The record is from RNAcentral.
UAGGGAAUCUUCGGCAAUGGGGGCAACCCUGGCCGAGCAACGCCGCGUGAGUGAAGAAGGUUUUCGGAUCGUAAAGCUCUGUUGUAAGAGAAGAACGUGUGUGAGAGUGGAAAGUUCACACAGUGACGGUAACUUACCAGAAAGGGACGGCUAACUACGCGCCAG